AAUGAAUGUACCGAAAAAACUCGUAUGUGUCGAUACAAUCGAAUGUACUUUUAACAGCUCUAUAAAUUUGGAAACAAAAAAUUUUACUUUGGAUAUUGGCCUAAAUACAUAGCCCAUAAUAUUGGUGAUUGAAUGACCUUUAUUUUCUAGAUAUUCUGUAACAUAAUGUUAACCAUGAUCAGAUUCGUGCACUUCUGAUUUGUCGAGUUAUGAUGAAAAAUAUAUAUAUGUCACCAAAAAUUCAGAAUCUCGACCAAGGUCGAAAUUAAAUUAAGUAGAAAAGCCAAAUGCUGAAAUAAUUGAUGAAACAACAGUACAAAAGACGUCAUGCUAUUAUUGAUCAUUAUUAUUUUUUCGGAUAUAUGUUUUUUAAGAAUAUUUACAAAGUCCCGUAGUAUGUUUGACGUCAGAAAAUACGCAAGUCUAUCUCCUAGUUACCAGUUUUUCAAUAAUCAAUAACGGGAAAAACGAUACAGUUCAAAUUAUUAUGAGAAAAAAUGUUAUAAGAGUGUCAAACUCAGCAGAAUCGUAUUUGCACGAACGAUUGAAGAAAGAAGCACUCAUAUUAUAUUUAAGCAGAUAUUUUUCGUUAUUUUUUACCGCUAAAAUCGAGUACGAAACUGUGGCUAUAUAUACAAGCUCAUGUAGAGAGGUUAAGAAGACCUUAUUUUGCGUGGGAGGGGAACGAAAUUCAAAAGUGUUGCUGUUAUUUCUGUGACUUUGUUUACUAGUUAAGUUUGCGAUCACUUUUUUCUUGGAAUUAUUGGCUGACAUGUGACACAACAUUGAUACGGAUGAUUUGCGUAUUUACAUUUUGGAAAGCGACAACUCCCUUCAGAAUACUAUUCCAUCUUAAAAACAAGACUCAGGGGGAAGGAUCAUUACAAACAGUCUCGAUAAUAAUCAGUAUGUAUUUAUUUAUUGUUUUCCUAUGCCUUAAUAACGUUAAUCGUUGUUGUGAUGUUUUAUUUUCGUAUUUUUAAUUGACCCACAUUCUAUCGCAGCAGGUGCACGUGACCUGAAGAAAAAUGCAGACGUAAAAGGUCAAGGUUGGAUUGAAUACACAAACUUUAUCUGAUGAAGGGGUCAUCUGAGGUCACGCUCUUAUGGCUAUUAUUGGAUACUAGCGUUAUCUUGAACACAUUGCUUUUAUGAAAACUUUACAAAAAUGAUAUUUUAUAGAAAAAAAUGCUAUCAAUAUUUUAU
RNAcentral lists this long non-coding RNA (1206 nucleotides) under Mytilus galloprovincialis (Mediterranean mussel). The record is from RNAcentral. Lineage: Eukaryota; Metazoa; Mollusca; Bivalvia; Mytilida; Mytilidae.